This 254-nucleotide ribosomal RNA is filed under the name uncultured bacterium. RNAcentral's name for it is "partial 16S ribosomal RNA". It matches the Rfam family "Bacterial small subunit ribosomal RNA", at positions 524 to 776 of the family's 1533-position model. The record is from RNAcentral.
UACGUAGGGUGCAAGCGUUGUCCGGAAUUAUUGGGCGUAAAGAGCUCGUAGGCGGUCUGUUGCGUCCGCUGUGAAAACUCGGGGCUUAACCCCGGGCCUGCAGUGGGUACGGGCAGACUAGAGUGCGGUAGGGGGAGACUGGAAUUCCUGGUGUAGCGGUGAAAUGCGCAGAUAUCAGGAGGAACACCGGUGGCGAAGGCGGGUCUCUGGGCCGUAACUGACGCUGAGGAGCGAAAGCGUGGGGAGCGAACAGG